Molecule: ribosomal RNA, 471 nt
Filed under: Ralstonia sp.
Lineage: Bacteria; Pseudomonadati; Pseudomonadota; Betaproteobacteria; Burkholderiales; Burkholderiaceae
Description: bacterial SSU rRNA
Rfam family: Bacterial small subunit ribosomal RNA
Source: RNAcentral
CAAUGCCGCGUGUGUGAAAGAAGGCCUUCGGGUUGUAAAGCACUUUUGUCCGGAAAGAAAUGGCUCUGGUUAAUACCUGGGGUCGAUGACGGUACCGGAAGAAUAAGGACCGGCUAACUACGUGCCAGCAGCCGCGGUAAUACGUAGGGUCCAAGCGUUAAUCGGAAUUACUGGGCGUAAAGCGUGCGCAGGCGGUUGUGCAAGACCGAUGUGAAAUCCCCGAGCUUAACUUGGGAAUUGCAUUGGUGACUGCACGGCUAGAGUGUGUCAGAGGGGGGUAGAAUUCCACGUGUAGCAGUGAAAUGCGUAGAGAUGUGGAGGAAUACCGAUGGCGAAGGCAGCCCCCUGGGAUAACACUGACGCUCAUGCACGAAAGCGUGGGGAGCAAACAGGAUUAGAUACCCUGGUAGUCCACGCCCUAAACGAUGUCAACUAGUUGUUGGGGAUUCAUUUCCUUAGUAACGUAGCUAA